Long non-coding RNA from Hippoglossus stenolepis (Pacific halibut), 889 nucleotides. RefSeq lists it as uncharacterized. The transcript is spliced from 7 exons. NCBI's taxonomy places the organism in Eukaryota, Metazoa, Chordata, Actinopteri, Pleuronectiformes, Pleuronectidae. The record is from RefSeq and is a predicted model, not a curated record.
AAAGGGCAAAAGGGCAAAAGCAGCUCAGUCUCAUUCUCCGGCUCUCUCUCUGUGCAACAGACUCGUCAGCGACAUCGACUCAAAAUGAAGGUGAACAGCACGUGGCUCAAACGGGUGUUUCCAGGCGUUUGGACUCAUCAAAUGCAUCCCUGGUUGGAGUAUGAUGCAGAGGUGUGAAGAAGCUGGGGAUGAUGAGGUGUGAUCACACUGACUGAAUUCACUCUUCGUUCACGACAUUCAAUAAGACGGUCUCGUGUUUGUGCAUCUGGUCUGAACGCUCUAGUAUGAGCUACUGAAACCUCUCUGGCUACAGAAUGCUAUGGUGAGUGAGACUGAAGUUUUAUCCUUAAAUGAAGUUUGACACAAUGAUGAUACCAUAGUUCAGCAGAUUUAACAAUGAAGAAGAUCUAUUUGUCUUUCGCUCCUAGCUGAUGUGUCACCUGUAAUUGUCCUCUAGCCCAAACAGCUUAUUAUGCAUACUAACGUCCCCUCUGUUCUCCUCAGACAUGUGACUUCUCCACCGACUAAACUUCCAGCCUUGUUGGUACGUCUCACAUUCAAAUCAAAUGUUGCUAAUGUUCAGGCGUGAUGAAUGUGAAUCAGGUCGCUGAUCCAGUUGAGGAAAUAUGUCAUGUUUCUGAUCUGAUACUUGUUGCAAGAGAUAAAAUUGCUAGUUUCUGCAAUCAUCAUAAUUGAAGCUGUUUUUACUUUACAGAUCUAAUGGGAUCUUGGGCAGUUGGGUGCAGAAGAUGUCACACAAACAAUGUGAGUAUGAAAAUAAAAACUGUAGAACCUCAGUCCCAGAUGACAAGUGGAGCUGGACACAAACAUGCCCUUUAGCUAUCAGCAGGUAGUUGUCAAGACUGAAACUGCUAGUUGGCUUUUUUCA